Molecule: non-coding RNA, 1026 nt
Organism: Camelina sativa (false flax)
Lineage: Eukaryota; Viridiplantae; Streptophyta; Magnoliopsida; Brassicales; Brassicaceae
Source: RefSeq, a predicted model, not a curated record
CUCUCUUUUUCCUCCCUCGACGAGCCAACGAAUCCGAAUAGAACCAAAUCGGAAUCCUCUCGAUAACUUCGUCUCUCUCUCUCGCUGCCUCGCAAAGAAGUUGUUCAACUUUGGCGACGGUGGCGGUUGAUAAAGCUACCAACGAUCUUGUGUGUUAGCUCAUGAUUGGACUACCAACUUGGAAAUCUGUGAUUCUGUCCAUUGUCUUGAUUGUUGUUUCAUAGGUUCGAUUUAGGUUUUAGAUUGUUGUUUCAUCCGCUUGCUUUUGUUUGGAAUUGUUGAUUGUUGUUACUGGAUUAUGUUGGAUUGGUUGAUGUUCUUAUAAAAAGACUACAAGUACAUGCAAAAUUGGGAUUUGGUGUUGUUUAGUUCUUGAUUUGGAGUAGGAAGCUCUUACAUUUUUUUGGGUUAGUUUCUUUGUUGGUUGUGAUUUGUUUUGGGAACAGAGGUGAUUUUUUUGUUGGAGAUUGGAGCUCCUUUGUUGUUCAGCUUUAAGAUACAAAUGGCUGCUUUAUUAUGCCUUUGACUCUUUGGUUCGAUCUCUGAAGGAGUUAAUGCUUACUUAGAAUUAAUACUGCUUAGUGCUCAUACUCAUGUUCUUUGGCGGCAGUAACACCGGAGGAAGAGAUAUUCUACCUAGUGGCGAUCCUAACAUCGGCAGUUCUAGGCAAGGACGAUGGAGUUGAACACAUCUUGAAGCGGAACCAAAGAAUACUAGAAUUUUUAGUGAAGCAGCAGGUAUAGGGUUGAAGCAGUAUCUGCCACAUUACACAACAAGAGAGGUGUGGAGAUGGGUUCAACAUUCAGACUAGAUUCUAAUAACAGGUCGCUCUGAGAUGUCAUCUGGUCGCUCUGGCCCUCUCAGAAAUUCAGACUUUUGCACCCCGGAGAAUUCAUAUGAAUGGGAAAAUCCCAAAGAGUCAGAAUCACCACGUUAUCAAGCCUUACUUCGUAUGACAAGUGCUCCACGAAAGAGGUUUGUUGGUGACAUCAAAAGCUUUUCUCAUGAGUUGAACUCAAAAGAGG